This 84-nucleotide transfer RNA is filed under the name bacterium. RNAcentral describes it as "tRNA-Leu". It matches the Rfam family "tRNA". From Rfam's summary of the family: Transfer RNA (tRNA) molecules are approximately 80 nucleotides in length. Their secondary structure includes four short double-helical elements and three loops (D, anti-codon, and T loops). Further hydrogen bonds mediate the characteristic L-shaped molecular structure. tRNAs have two regions of fundamental functional importance: the anti-codon, which is responsible for specific mRNA codon recognition, and the 3' end, to which the tRNAs corresponding amino acid is attached (by aminoacyl-tRNA synthetases). tRNAs cope with the degeneracy of the genetic code in two manners: having more than one tRNA (with a specific anti-codon) for a particular amino acid; and 'wobble' base-pairing, i.e. permitting non-standard base-pairing at the 3rd anti-codon position. The record is from RNAcentral.
GCCCGGGUGGCGAAACUGGCAGACGCGCUGGAUUCAGGUUCCAGUGAGAGCAAUCUCUUGAGGGUUCAAAUCCCUCCUCGGGCA